RNAcentral lists this ribosomal RNA (798 nucleotides) under Oceanobacillus sp. RNAcentral's name for it is "bacterial SSU rRNA". It matches the Rfam family "Bacterial small subunit ribosomal RNA", at positions 35 to 820 of the family's 1533-position model. Lineage: Bacteria; Bacillati; Bacillota; Bacilli; Caryophanales; Bacillaceae. The record is from RNAcentral.
ACUGCAGUCGAGCGCAGGAAGCAAGCUGAUCCCCUUCGGGGGUGACGCUUGUGGAAUGAGCGGCGGACGGGUGAGUAACACGUGGGCAACCUGCCUGUAAGACUGGGAUAACCCCGGGAAACCGGGGCUAAUACCGGAUAAUACUUUCUUUUGCAUAAAGGAAAGUUGAAAGGCGGCUUCGGCUGUCACUUACAGAUGGGCCCGCGGCGCAUUAGCUAGUUGGUGAGGUAACGGCUCACCAAGGCGACGAUGCGUAGCCGACCUGAGAGGGUGAUCGGCCACACUGGGACUGAGACACGGCCCAGACUCCUACGGGAGGCAGCAGUAGGGAAUCUUCCGCAAUGGACGAAAGUCUGACGGAGCAACGCCGCGUGAGUGAUGAAGGUUUUCGGAUCGUAAAACUCUGUUGUUAGGGAAGAACAAGUUGGGUAGUAACUGACCCAACCUUGACGGUACCUAACCAGAAAGCCACGGCUAACUACGUGCCAGCAGCCGCGGUAAUACGUAGGUGGCAAGCGUUGUCCGGAAUUAUUGGGCGUAAAGCGCUCGCAGGCGGUCCUUUAAGUCUGAUGUGAAAUCUCGCGGCUCAACCGCGAACGGUCAUUGGAAACUGGAGGACUUGAGUACAGAAGAGGAGAGUGGAAUUCCACGUGUAGCGGUGAAAUGCGUAGAGAUGUGGAGGAACACCAGUGGCGAAGGCGACUCUCUGGUCUGUAACUGACGCUGAGGAGCGAAAGCGUGGGGAGCGAACAGGAUUAGAUACCCUGGUAGUCCACGCCGUAAACGAUGAGUGCUAGG